RNAcentral lists this small nuclear RNA (182 nucleotides) under Neotoma lepida (desert woodrat). RNAcentral describes it as "7SK RNA". It matches the Rfam family "7SK RNA". Rfam says of the family: 7SK was discovered as an abundant small nuclear RNA in the mid-70s but a possible function has only recently been suggested. The record is from Rfam by way of RNAcentral. Lineage: Eukaryota; Metazoa; Chordata; Mammalia; Rodentia; Cricetidae.
AUAUGUANGGAUGAACUAACUCAACACUCUCCACCUCCUAUUGGUCUCCAGCAUGGAUUCGGCUGUGCUGGCUGGCUGGACAGGUGUCCCCUUCCUUCCUCACCACCCCAUGUGUGUCCCUUCUGAAGCUAUGUACUGGGACAAAGAGGACAACCUCCCUCAUAGAGAAGAACUUUCCAGAA